GACGAACGCUGGCGGCGUGCUUAACACAUGCAAGUCGAACGGAAAGACCCUGCUUGGGUGGGGUUCUCGAGUGGCGAACGUGUGAGUAACACGGGAAUAACCUGCCCUUGACUUUGGUAGAACUUCAGGAAGCUGGGUCUAAUACCAGAUAGUAGCACCUGCUCCAGGUUGGGGGUUGGAAGGAUUCGGCGGUUGGGGAUGGACUCGGGGCUGAUCAGCUUGUUGGUGGGGUAGUGGCUUACCAAGGCUUUGGCGGGGAGCCGGCCUGAGCGGGUGACGGGACCGAUUGGGACGGAGAUGCGGCACAGCCUACUCCGGGAGGCAGGAGUGGGGAAUAUUGCACAAUGGGAGGAAGCCUGAUGCAGUAACGCAGCGUGCGGGAUGACGGCAUUCGGGUUGUAAACCGCUUUCCCCUGUGCAGAAGCGUGAGUGACGGUAAUGGGUAAAGAAGCACCGGCUAACUACGUG
RNAcentral lists this ribosomal RNA (468 nucleotides) under uncultured bacterium. Its description in RNAcentral is "partial 16S ribosomal RNA". It matches the Rfam family "Bacterial small subunit ribosomal RNA", at positions 28 to 507 of the family's 1533-position model. The record is from RNAcentral.